This is a non-coding RNA of Bos taurus (domestic cattle), 72 nucleotides long. The record is from Rfam. Lineage: Eukaryota; Metazoa; Chordata; Mammalia; Artiodactyla; Bovidae.
UCCCGGGUAGCUCAGACAGUAAAACGUCUGCCUGCAAUGCAGAAGACCCGGGUUUAAUCCCUGGGUCGGGAA